Molecule: transfer RNA, 86 nt
Filed under: Mycobacterium bourgelatii
Lineage: Bacteria; Bacillati; Actinomycetota; Actinomycetes; Mycobacteriales; Mycobacteriaceae
Description: tRNA-Ile
Source: RNAcentral
CCGGUGUUGGAGUGGCCGGUGUUGAACCAUCCGGUGUUGAUGUUGCCGGGGUUGAAGUCGCCGGAGUUCGUGUCGCCGGCGUUGAA